This 87-nucleotide ribosomal RNA is filed under the name Magnetococcales bacterium. Its description in RNAcentral is "partial 23S ribosomal RNA". It matches the Rfam family "Bacterial large subunit ribosomal RNA", at positions 2839 to 2925 of the family's 2925-position model. The record is from RNAcentral. Lineage: Bacteria; Pseudomonadati; Pseudomonadota; Magnetococcia; Magnetococcales.
GGGAGACCACCACGUUGAUAGGCUAGGUGUGGAAGCGCGGCAACGCGUGCAGCUUACUAGUACUAAUCGGUCCAUUGGCUUGUAUGA